This is a long non-coding RNA of Myripristis murdjan (pinecone soldierfish), 472 nucleotides long. RefSeq lists it as uncharacterized. The transcript has 3 exons. The record is from RefSeq and is a predicted model, not a curated record. NCBI's taxonomy places the organism in Eukaryota, Metazoa, Chordata, Actinopteri, Holocentriformes, Holocentridae.
AGAUCAAGUCUUCACCAUCAGCAACAGCCAAGGCAAUUAGGUCAUUCAAGAUCUGACUGCAGCAGAGACGAGCUAAUAGACUAUGAUGUUGAGGAGCUGAAUUUAACAAGAAAUGGUUGUGAUACGACUCUGGCUAGAGAGGAGUAUGAAGUCCGUGAAGAUUUUCAUCUCCAAAAACUACACAGAGGGGGUCAGCACCUUUUUUUUCUUCGACUUUCGACGGACCCUGGCGAAAUGUCAACAUCAGUUAAUGACAUCAACAUUUCGACGGGUCGACCAUUACAUUAAUGCCCUACUUCUGUCUUCCUGUUGCUUUUGCUGUCACUGAGCGAGACAAUUGCUUUAACCAAUCGGGCUUGAGGAUGCAGCCAGAAGGACCAAGGGCCAGACCAAGGAAGGACAGACUAAUAGGUUCUGUCUCAACUCACGGGCUGCAGCUUUCCAAGGACCCAGCCUUUCGCAGUCCACCAAG